RNAcentral lists this ribosomal RNA (492 nucleotides) under uncultured bacterium. RNAcentral describes it as "partial 16S rRNA". The record is from RNAcentral.
GCACGUAAUUAGCCGGGGCUUAUUCACAGACUACCGUCAUCAGCAUGGCAUUCCCUCCACGCCUUAUUCCUCAUCUAUAAAAGGGCUUUACAACGUUUCCGCCUUCAUCACCCACGCGACGUCGCUCCGUCAGACUUUCGUCCAUUGCGGAAGAUUCUUAGCUGCUGCCUCCCGUAGGAGUCUGGGCCGUAUCUCAGUCCCAGUGUGGCCGUCCACCCUCUCAGGCCGGCUACUGAUCGAAGCCUUGGUGAGCCUUUACCUCACCAACUAGCUAAUCAGCCGCAGGCACAUCCUCAGGCGAGGCCUUAGCCCCUUUCAUCAUGGUGUCAAAACUCCAUGACCUCAUUCGGUAUUACCCUGUGUUUCCACAAGCUAUCCCCAUCCCAAGGGCAGUUCACCUACGUGUUACUCACCCGUUCGCCACUCGCCACCAGGGUUACCCCCGUGUUGCCGUCCGACUUGCAUGCUUAAGACGCGUCGCCAGCGUUCGUU